This 906-nucleotide ribosomal RNA is filed under the name Hypocrella discoidea. Its description in RNAcentral is "eukaryotic LSU rRNA". It matches the Rfam family "Eukaryotic large subunit ribosomal RNA", at positions 41 to 958 of the family's 3401-position model. The record is from RNAcentral. Lineage: Eukaryota; Fungi; Ascomycota; Sordariomycetes; Hypocreales; Clavicipitaceae.
UAUCAAUAAGCGGAGGAAAAGAAACCAACAGGGAUUGCCCCAGUAACGGCGAGUGAAGCGGCAACAGCUCAAAUUUGAAAUCUGGCCCCUCCCCCGGGGGGGCCCGAGUUGUAAUUUGCAGAGGAUGCUUCUGGCGAGGUGCCUUCCGAGUUCCCUGGAACGGGACGCCACAGAGGGUGAGAGCCCCGUCUGGUCGGACACCGAGCCUCUGUGAAGCUCCUUCGACGAGUCGAGUAGUUUGGGAAUGCUGCUCUAAAUGGGAGGUAUAUGUCUUCUAAAGCUAAAUACCGGCCAGAGACCGAUAGCGCACAAGUAGAGUGAUCGAAAGAUGAAAAGCACUUUGAAAAGAGGGUUAAACAGUACGUGAAAUUGUUGAAAGGGAAGCGCUCACGACCAGACCUGGUCCCGGCGAAUCACCCGGCGUUCUCGCCGGUGCACUUCGACGGGCUUCCAGGCCAGCAUCAGUCCGCGCCGGGGGACAAAGGCGGCGGGAACGUGGCUCCCCAGGGAGUGUUAUAGCCCGCCGCGCAAUGCCCCGGGAGCGGACUGAGGACCGCGCGUCACCGCAAGGAUGCUGGCGUAAUGGUCUUCAGCGACCCGUCUUGAAACACGGACCAAGGAGUCGUCCUCGUAUGCGAGUGUUGGGGCGUCAAACCCCCCGCGCGUAAUGAAAGUGAACGGCAGGUGAGAGCCCUCGCGGGCGCAUCAUCGACCGAUCCUGAUGUUCUCGGAUGGAUUUGAGUAAGAGCAUACGGGGCCGGACCCGAAAGAAGGUGAACUAUGCCUGUGUAGGGUGAAGCCAGAGGAAACUCUGGUGGAGGCUCGCAGCGGUUCUGACGUGCAAAUCGAUCGUCAAACAUGGGCAUGGGGGCGAAAGACUAAUCGAACCUUCUAGUAGCUGGUUUC